This 465-nucleotide ribosomal RNA is filed under the name uncultured bacterium. Its description in RNAcentral is "partial 16S ribosomal RNA". It matches the Rfam family "Bacterial small subunit ribosomal RNA", at positions 28 to 507 of the family's 1533-position model. The record is from RNAcentral.
GACGAACGCUGGCGGCGUGCUUAACACAUGCAAGUCGAACGGAAAGGCCCUGCUUGCAGGGUCUUCGAGUGGCGAACGGGUGUGUAACACGUGGGUGAUCUCCCCUGCACUUUGGGAUAAGCCUGGGAAACUGGGUCUAAUACCGGAUAGAAGCCAUCUUUAUUGUGAUUGUUGGAAAGUUUUUUCGGUGUAGGAUGAGAUCGCGGCCUAUCAGCUUGUUGGUGGGGUAAUGGCCUACCAAGGCGGCGACGGGUAGCCGGCCCGGGAGGGUGGACGGCCACAAUGGGACUGAGGGACGGCCCAGACGCCUACGGGAGGCAACAGGGGGGAAUAUUGCACAAUGGGGGCGAGCCUGAUGCAACGACGCCGGGGGGGGGAUGACGGGCUUCGGGUUGUAAACUCCUUUCGCUAGGGACGAAGCUUUUUGUGACGGUACCUAGAGAAGAAGCACCGGCUAACUACGUG